AACCAAAGUGUUGAGCAUAGGUCAAGGCUGCUUUCCUGUUUUGAUAAUUAAACUUUAGGACAGGAAGAUGAUGUCUAGAAGAGAUGACUGGGUAGAAGGUAUAUCUCUAUUCAUUUCCUUCCCAGCCUGCAAGA
Sorex araneus (European shrew) is the source of this 134-nucleotide small nucleolar RNA. The record is from Ensembl. Lineage: Eukaryota; Metazoa; Chordata; Mammalia; Eulipotyphla; Soricidae.